Peromyscus leucopus (white-footed mouse) is the source of this 1553-nucleotide RNA transcript. It is a transcript of the gene named leukocyte-associated immunoglobulin-like receptor 1, with no coding region annotated. NCBI's taxonomy places the organism in Eukaryota, Metazoa, Chordata, Mammalia, Rodentia, Cricetidae. The transcript has 6 exons. The record is from RefSeq and is a predicted model, not a curated record.
GUAAGAAAACUGAUUUAGAAAUCUUGUGUUGAGCACCAGUCCUCUGACAUCCUGCCUCUUGUCUCCACUGCAGGGCUUCAGACCUGGUCAGACUACCAGAGCCUGAAUCAUGCCAGUUAAUCCUGUGAAGCUGUUGGCCCUCGUGCUGUGCCUAGGAUGGACAGUUAUGACUCAAGAAGGAUCUCUGUCAAAGCCUUCCAUCUCAGCUGAACCAAGCCUUGUGAUCCACAAAGGGCAUUUUGUAACCAUUGUGUGCUCAACCCCUAGUGGAUAUGAUACAUUCCGCCUGGAGAAGGGAAGCCAUUGUGUCAUGGAGAAGAAGAACACACAGCCUCUAAUGACAGAGGCUAGAUUCCUCCUUGGCCCAGUGAAUGAAAGCACUGCUGGAGACUAUCAUUGCCUCUAUUAUAAAAAGUCCAUCUGGUCCCCACGCAGUGAGAACUUGGAGCUGAAGGUAACCAGAGAAGACGUCACCCAGGCUCCUGACCCAGGCUCAACAGUGAACUCAGGUCUCCUUUGCCCAUAUACCCCAGAUUCCCAGAAAUGUAGUCUUAGCAGACACCAAGAAUUAUCUGGAUACAACUCCAGACUGGAGAGUUGGGUCCAAAUCUGUCUCUGAUUAUGAAGUAGAGACUGAUACCCAGCAAUGGUGAAGACAGACUCAUUUCAAGGUGGUCUUUUCACUGGCCAUGCUAGUCUUUUGUGGGACCCAUUUGCACACUGUGUGAGAGCCAGGGUGUGCCCUCAGUGAUCUAAGGGUGCUGGAAUGAGGAAAAUCAGAAUGAAGGCAUGGAGUACAGGGGCAUUGGGAAUGAUGGGACAGUCAGGCCAAGGACUCAAGAUGUCUGAAUCGUCAAAAAAGGAGGAGAAGCUUCAUGUCCCUUCAGCCCUCUUUUCUGAGCCAUAGCAGACGCUGUGAACUUUGCCCCUUUUUAAGAAAGAGCUUCCCCACAGUCUCUACCCCACAGAGUUACAAGGUGUGGAUUGGUGUCCGCAUGGCCCUGGCUGGAGUAGUCUUUCUGGUCUUGGUGGCAAUCCUUGGAGAAGCUUGGCACAACAAACACAAGUCCACAGAUAGAUCAGGUUCCGUGAAUCUAUGAAGAGACAACCAAUGACAAAGGCUAAUUUGGGCAGCUAAGAAGACCAAGGACUCAUAUUGUCCCAUGAGAUACAUGGAUACAGACUCUGUUGCCAGAGAAUAUUCUCCAAUUCACAACAGGGAGAGGAAACAAAACAUCACAUUCUCUCUGGAACAUCAGAUAUCUGUCCAGAGAACUUGAUUCAAUAUGUUAUUUCAUAGCCCUGAAUCUUCCUACACCCCCUUUCUGAGUCUUUCUUGCCUCCUGGUUGGUACUUGUUCCAUCCCUUAAAAUCUUGCCUCUGUUGGUCCUUAAAGAUAAUUAAAGUUUCCUGUGAGAUGUAUAUAAAUAGGUUUUCCUUAUUAAAGAGGAAUGUUUGCAAGGAACCACAGGCAGCAAAGGAAGGCUGAGAGUGGGAAAACUAAUCUUCUCUAAGGAAAAGAACAACUUUUAAAAUAAAACCCGUUUUCCAAA